AGGUACAGCUGUCACUGUCCACCAUGUAAGAGGUGCUUUUCACCUUCUGCCAUGAUUGUGAGGCCUCCCUAGCCACAUGGAACUCACUAAGAACACCCUCUCUCAGAAGCCAGCUGCCAUGUCCCAAGGAGAAGUCACAUGAAGAAUGGAGGUGGUCUGUUCAACAGACCCCCAGAGCUUCAAGCUGACAGCAGCAUCAACUCUAGGAAUGCAAGGGGACUAUCCAGAACAUUCCAAACCAUUCGAGCCCCCAGAUGAUCUCAGUCAACAUAACAUAGAGUAGGAAAACCAACCAGUCAAUCCCAGUCAACAACAGAAUCAUGAAAGAUAAUAAAGUGGAGAAAACAUAGAAAUGUAAAUGCACUUUCUACAUGUGAACUGUGCUAAGGACCUUUGAAGCUGUGCUCCUUCUUCCCAAUAUGACAUCUGGGUUAAGGAGAAGCUUACUUUAUAUGGCAAAUUGACUAGUACAUAGUAGACCUCAAUGAAUAAUAAUUUGUUGAAAGUUUUCCUCUUCCAAGGCUCAGUUUCUUCAUCUGUGAAUUAAGGAUGUUGCUCAAGAAGGGACAGGAGUGAAGUGUCCAGGCUCAUCAACAGUCUGUGUGCAAAGUUACAGAAAAUUUCUUCUCACAGCCUUUGAGAGAGAAAAUUCUAUGGCCUUCAGACUUGGAUUAGAACUACACCACCGGCUCUCCAGGAUCUGCAGCUUGUAGAUGGCAGAUUGUGGACAUUCUCAGCCUUCAUAAUCAUGGCUCGUCCCAAGUGGAUCUUUCAGAAAGCCCUUCUCUGACCACAAUAUAGUGCUAGUGCCACCGCUGCCCACCCCGUGGUGUGCUAGACUCGUCCAACUUAGAAUCACCACUACUCCCUGCAAGUGUGUCCAUGGUGCUAAACAUCCCCAAGUAUUUGUAUAUAGUGCUUUGUACAGGGUGAUUUAUGUGCAUUCAUGUGAUGGUUCAGAAUCUCAACGAGAGGACGAUGUUUGCCACUGCUGUACAGAAAAAGGUGAUCCAGCAGCUGCAGAUGAUUAGAAGUGAAUGGCAAAGCAAUGUCAAGAGAUUCUACAUCCACAAAACAAGAGUUUCAACCACAGAAGGGCACAAGGAGACAAACUCAGACUCCAAGAAUACCACAGACUUGGUAAUAUAUAAAGGAAAAAAACGUUAUUUAUCUUAUGAUUCUGGAAGUCCAAGACCAUGGCAUGGCAUCUGGUGAAGGCCUUCUUGCCGCAUCACAACAUGACUGACAGAGGGAAUCACACGAGUCUCGCUCUAUCACUCAGGC
This is a long non-coding RNA of Homo sapiens (human), 1284 nucleotides long. The record is from Ensembl. Lineage: Eukaryota; Metazoa; Chordata; Mammalia; Primates; Hominidae.